AACGAACGCUGGCGGCAGGCCUAACACAUGCAAGUCGAGCGAGAUCUUCGGGUCUAGCGGCGGACGGGUGAGUAACGCGUGGGAAUAUGCCUCUUGGUACGGAAUAGCCUCGGGAAACUGGGAGUAAUACCGUAUGUGCCCUUUGGGGGAAAGAUUUAUCGCCAAGAGAUUAGCCCGCGUUGGAUUAGGUAGUUGGUGGGGUAAUGGCCUACCAAGCCGACGAUCCAUAGCUGGUUUGAGAGGAUGAUCAGCCACACUGGGACUGAGACACGGCCCAGACUCCUACGGGAGGCAGCAGUGGGGAAUCUUAGGCAAUGGGGGCAACCCUGAUCUAGCCAUGCCGCGUGAGUGAUGAAGGCCUUAGGGUUGUAAAGCUCUUUCAGCUGGGAAGAUAAUGACGGUACCAGCAGAAGAAGCCCCGGCUAACUCCGUG
This 433-nucleotide ribosomal RNA is filed under the name uncultured bacterium. RNAcentral describes it as "partial 16S ribosomal RNA". It matches the Rfam family "Bacterial small subunit ribosomal RNA", at positions 29 to 507 of the family's 1533-position model. The record is from RNAcentral.